UACGUAGAUGACCUGCCUUAAAGUGGGGGAUAACUACUGGAAACGGUGGCUAAUACCGCAUAGAGCUGUGACCGUUGGAAGGUUGCAGGGAAAGCUCCGGCGCUUAGAGAGGGGUCUACGUCCGAUUAGCUAGUUGGUGGGGUAAAGGCCUACCAAGGCGACGAUCGGUAGCUGGUCUGAGAGGACGAUCAGCCACACGGGAACUGAGACACGGUCCCGACUCCUACGGGGGGCAGCAGCGAGGAAUAUUGGGCAAUGGGCGAAAGCCUGACCCAGCAACGCCGCGUGAAGGAAGAAGGCCUUUGGGUUGUAAACUUCCUUUGUAGGGGAAGAGAGAGGACGGUACCCUACGAAUAAGUCACGGCUAACUACGUGCCAGCAGCCGCGGUAAUACGUAGGUGACAAGCGUUAUCCGGAAUUAUUGGGCGUAAAGCGCACGCAGGCGGCGUACUAAGUCUGACGUGAAAUCUCCCGGCUUAACUGGGAGGGGACGUUGGAGACUGGUAGGCUCGAGGGAGUGAGAGGGGUGUGGAAUUCCCAGUGUAGUGGUGGAAUACGUAGAUAUUGGGAGGAACACCAGUGGCGAAAGCGGCACCCUGGCACUGACCUGACGCUCAGGUGCGAAAGCGUGGGUAGCGAACGGGAUUAGAUACCCCGGUAGUCCACGCUGUAAACGAUGAGUACUAGGUGUGGGUGGAGUCAAAUCUAUCUGUACCGAAGCAAACGCCCUAAGUACUCCGCCUGGGGAGUACGGCCGCAAGGCUAAACUCAAAGGAAUUGAC
This 782-nucleotide ribosomal RNA is filed under the name uncultured Chloroflexota bacterium. Its description in RNAcentral is "bacterial SSU rRNA". It matches the Rfam family "Bacterial small subunit ribosomal RNA", at positions 114 to 914 of the family's 1533-position model. The record is from RNAcentral. Lineage: Bacteria; Bacillati; Chloroflexota.